This 488-nucleotide ribosomal RNA is filed under the name uncultured organism. RNAcentral's name for it is "SSU rRNA". It matches the Rfam family "Bacterial small subunit ribosomal RNA", at positions 8 to 509 of the family's 1533-position model. The record is from RNAcentral.
AGAGUUUGAUCCUGGCUCAGGACGAACGCUGGCGGCGUGCUUAACACAUGCAAGUCGAACGGAACUUUUAGUUUAGUGGCAAACGGGUGAGUAACGCGUAGGUAAUCUGCCGCAAAGUUGGGGACAACAGUUCGAAAGGACUGCUAAUACCGAAUGUUAUAACUUUUCCGCAUGGAGGAGUUAUUAAAGAUUUAUCGCUUUGCGAGGAGCCUGCGUCCGAUUAGGCAGUUGGUAGGGUAAAGGCUUACCAAACCUACGAUCGGUAACCGGUCUGAGAGGAUGAACGGUCACAUUGGAACUGAGACACGGUCCAGACUCCUACGGGAGGCAGCAGUGGGGAAUAUUCCACAAUGGGCGAAAGCCUGAUGGAGCGACGCCGCGUGAGUGAAGAAGGUUUUCGAAUCGUAAAGCUCUUUUCAACUUGACGAAUAACUGUUUAGAACAGUGGAGACGGUAAAGAUGGAAUAAGCCACGGCUAACUACGUGCC